GCCCGCUCAGAAACUCAAAGGAAUUCGACGGGGCCCGCACAAGCGGUGGAGCAUGUGGUUAAUUCGAUGGUACGCGAGGAACCUUACCAGGGCUUGACAUACGUUGGAGGCGCAUCGAAAGGUGCGUGCCGCUUGCGGCCGGCGUACAGGUGCUGCAUGGCUGUCGUCAGCUCGUGCUGUGAAGUGUUGGGUUAAGUCCCGCAACGAGCGCAACCCCUGCUGCCUGUUGCCACCACGAGAGGUGGGGACUCAGGCGGGACCGCCGGUGACAAACCGGAGGAAGUGGGGACGACGUCAAGUCAUCAUGGCCCUUAUGUCCUGGGCUACACACGUGCUACAAUGGCCGGUACAGAGCGCAGCGAGGCCGCGAGGCGGAGCGAAUCGCUUAAAGCCGGUCCCAGUACGGAUUGGAGUCUGCAACCCGACUCCAUGAAGUUGGAAUCGCUAGUAAUCGCGCAUCAGCAUGGCGCGGUGAAUACGUUCCCGGGCCUU
This 492-nucleotide ribosomal RNA is filed under the name uncultured Spirochaeta sp. Its description in RNAcentral is "bacterial SSU rRNA". It matches the Rfam family "Bacterial small subunit ribosomal RNA", at positions 887 to 1382 of the family's 1533-position model. The record is from RNAcentral. Lineage: Bacteria; Pseudomonadati; Spirochaetota; Spirochaetia; Spirochaetales; Spirochaetaceae.